This 253-nucleotide ribosomal RNA is filed under the name uncultured bacterium. RNAcentral's name for it is "partial 16S ribosomal RNA". It matches the Rfam family "Archaeal small subunit ribosomal RNA", at positions 474 to 727 of the family's 1478-position model. The record is from RNAcentral.
UACCAGCACCCCGAGUGGUCGGGACGAUUAUUGGGCCUAAAGCAUCCGUAGCCGGUCCUACAAGCCUUCCGUUAAAUCCACCUGCUUAACAGAUGGGCUGCGGAAGAUACUAUAGGGCUAGGAGGCGGGAGAGGCAAGCGGUACUCAGUGGGUAGGGGUAAAAUCCUCUGAUCCAUUGAAGACCACCAGUGGCGAAGGCGGCUUGCCAGAACGCGCUCGACGGUGAGGGAUGAAAGCUGGGGGAGCAAACCGG